ACAAAAAUCCCCAAUUUGAAACCCUAGUCAGAAUUUAUGGAGGCAUCUUCACCUCGCUCGAUCUCCAGCCACGCCGCCACCACCGUCGUCGCCUCGACACCCAGUCGAGACCUCGCCGCCGGAAUCUCGAGGCAGACCUCGGCGUUCCCUCCAACCGACCAAGAUUUGGUCGAUUCAGGCGGGAAAUCGCUCCGUUGGAGGACGCUCGACGGUUCCUACCACCGUCUUUGGCGUUCCUCGCUGGUGUGCGCGAGCUCGAUGUCUUGGCCGCCACAUAGCCCUGCCGUCAGCCGUCAGCUCUGGGCCUACGACGAGCCGCCGCCGCCGCCGCCGGAACCUCAACGCCCAGCCAUGGCUGGUGUUGCACCGUCGGAAGAGAGGAGAAGGCAUCGCUUCCCUCCGCACGGAGCUCCGACUGCCUCUGCGACUUCCUGCAGCUACCACCGCUGUCGCCGUCUCCACCUCCGGCGGAUUCACUUUCCCUUAAAGCUAAGUCCUUUAUCUUAUUCUUAGUGUAGCCACUUAAUUUGGGCAGAAGCUUAUGAGAUUUAACGAAAAUUCUUGCAUUUGAUUAUUGUGGUAAAACUUGGUUUGGUUUGCUAUUACUGAGUUAGCGUGUAAGGGCAGCAGCAGGUCGUUUCUCUUAUUUCAAAACGUGGUAAAGCUCUAAACUUGUUGUCUUAAGCAUGAUGUUCGAACAAAGGCAGAGGGUGUGCUUGUGAUAUAUUGAUUGUGAUUCUUAAGUUGUGGUGCCUCUAUAUGAUGAUAUGUAAAAUUUGAUUGGGAGAAGGGGUGGAGGUGGAGUACCUCUUGAAGCAGUUGCUUGAUUUUCAGCUUUUAAAACUUGGACUCUCUCACUUACUCCUUGAUUCCUUGCUAUGGGGAGUGGGAGUUGCUCUUGCUGCCACUGGUGUUGAUACUCCAAGCUCUCAAAAUUUUCUCUAACUUUGCUGAAUAUUUGUGAUGUAUGGGGAGGGAGUCUAACGGUGGGGUUGAGGGGGGGUUUUAUAGGCUGAUUUUGUAUCUUAGGAGAAUUAAUUGAAAGCUGAUUCCCCCCUUGUCCUCAUGUUGAAACCUAUCUCACUUUUGUGAUUUAGUAGUACUCUACACUAAAUGCAAUUUGGUCUUUAGUUAGAGAUUACAAGUCCCCUCAAAACUGACUUUGGUUGAUUGUGUGACUAGGAAAGCUGGUGCGCAUUUUGGAGGAGCAAAAAUGGCAGCUUUGACUUGCCUCUUUUGGUUUUGUAGGUGAGAAAGGAAGGUGUGGCUGUUGUGUUGUUCUCGGGCUAGGCUCGCUCCCCUUGGCCCGAUGGACUGCUCAAAGACGGGCUAUAGUUCGGGCCUGGAGAAGAGGCCCGAAGUGCAUCAAAAAUUUAUCUUUUCUUUUCUUUGUUUUCUUUAUUUGAAGCCUUGUUCCAUGUAUUAUUAUUAUUAUUUUUUUUUUUGAAGUUAGUAGUUCGUUUAUUGUAUAUGAAACGCUAUUCGAAUUUCUUUACUUGGGAAAAGACUUCUUGUCCUUCUUAUUUCA
Molecule: long non-coding RNA, 1528 nt
Organism: Salvia hispanica
Lineage: Eukaryota; Viridiplantae; Streptophyta; Magnoliopsida; Lamiales; Lamiaceae
Source: RefSeq, a predicted model, not a curated record